RNAcentral lists this ribosomal RNA (700 nucleotides) under uncultured bacterium. Its description in RNAcentral is "bacterial SSU rRNA". It matches the Rfam family "Bacterial small subunit ribosomal RNA", at positions 56 to 752 of the family's 1533-position model. The record is from RNAcentral.
UGCAGUCGACGAUGAAGGGAGCUUGCUCCCUGGAUUAGUGGCGAACGGGUGAGUAACACGUGAGUAACCUGCCCUUGACUCUGGGAUAAGCACUGGAAACGGUGUCUAAUACCGGAUACGAACUUCAGCCGCAUGGCUAGGAGUUGGAAAGAAUUUCGGUCAAGGAUGGACUCGCGGCCUAUCAGCUAGUUGGUGAGGUAAUGGCCCACCAAGGCGACGACGGGUAGCCGGCCUGAGAGGACGACCAGCCACACUGGGACUGAGACACGGCCCAGACUCCUACGGGAGGCAGCAGUGGGGAAUUUUGGACAAUGGGCGCAAGCCUGAUCCAGCCAUGCCGCGUGCGGGAAGAAGGCCUUCGGGUUGUAAACCGCUUUUGUCAGGGAAGAAAUCCUUUGAGAUAACACCUCGGAGGGAUGACGGUACCUGAAGAAUAAGCACCGGCUAACUACGUGCCAGCAGCCGCGGUAAUACGUAGGGUGCGAGCGUUAAUCGGAAUUACUGGGCGUAAAGCGUGCGCAGGCGGUCUUGCAAGACAGGUGUGAAAUCCCCGGGCUUAACCUGGGAACUGCAUCCGUGACUGCAAGGCUGGAGUACGGCAGAGGGGGAUGGAAUUCCGCGUGUAGCAGUGAAAUGCGUAGAUAUGCGGAGGAACACCGAUGGCGAAGGCAAUCCCCUGGGCCUGUACUGACGCUCAUGC